AUUGAACGCUGGCGGCAGGCCUAACACAUGCAAGUCGAACGGUAACAGGAAGAAGCUUGCUUCUUUGCUGACGAGUGGAGGACGGGUGAGUAAUGUCUGGGAAACUGCCUGAUGGAGGGGGAUAACUACUGGAAACGGUAGCUAAUACCGCAUAACGUCGCAAGACCAAAGAGGGGGACCUUCGGGCCUCUUGCCAUCGGAUGUGCCCAGAUGGGAUUAGCUAGUAGGUGGGGUAACGGCUCACCUAGGCGACGAUCCCUAGCUGGUCUGAGAGGAUGACCAGCCACACUGGAACUGAGACACGGUCCAGACUCCUACGGGAGGCAGCAGUGGGGAAUAUUGCACAAUGGGCGCAAGCCUGAUGCAGCCAUGCCGCGUGUAUGAAGAAGGCCUUCGGGUUGUAAAGUACUUUCAGCGGGGAGGAAGGGAGUAAAGUUAAUACCUUCGCUCAUUGACGUUACCCGCAGAAGAAGCACCGGCUAACUCCGUG
Molecule: ribosomal RNA, 490 nt
Filed under: uncultured bacterium
Lineage: Bacteria
Description: partial 16S ribosomal RNA
Rfam family: Bacterial small subunit ribosomal RNA
Source: RNAcentral